GACGAACGCUGGCGGCGUGCUUAACACAUGCAAGUCGAACGGAAAGGCCCUGCUUGCAGGGUGCUCGAGUGGCGAACGGGUGAGUAACACGUGGGUGAUCUGCCCCUUACUUUGGGAUAAGCCUGGGAAACUGGGUCUAAUACUGGAUAGGACCAUGCUGUAGGUGGUGUGGUGGAAAGAUUAGUUUCGGUAAGGGAUGAGCUCGCGGCCUAUCAGCUUGUUGGUGGGGUAAUGGCCUACCAAGGCGUCGACGGGUAGCCGGCCUGAGAGGGUGGACGGCCACAUUGGGACUGAGAUACGGCCCAGACUCCUACGGGAGGGAGAAGUGGGGAAUAUUGCACACUGGGCGCAAGCCUGAUGCAGCGACGCCGCGUGGGGGAUGACGGCCUUCGGGUUGUAAACACCUUUCUGCCAUGACGAAGCCCUUGUGGUGACGGUAGUGGUAGAAGAGACACCGGCUAACUACGU
Molecule: ribosomal RNA, 468 nt
Filed under: uncultured bacterium
Lineage: Bacteria
Description: partial 16S ribosomal RNA
Rfam family: Bacterial small subunit ribosomal RNA
Source: RNAcentral